This 393-nucleotide long non-coding RNA is filed under the name Bos taurus (domestic cattle). RNAcentral describes it as "long non-coding RNA NONBTAT019339". The record is from RNAcentral. Lineage: Eukaryota; Metazoa; Chordata; Mammalia; Artiodactyla; Bovidae.
CAUAUACCCACAUUAGUGCCCUUGUUUGAAUGGGAGGGAGGUGAGAAAUUGAUGAAUUCAGAGUAAGAAAUGAUCCAGCUAAUAUAGUCUAUAAAAAGAGGGCUGACUUUCAGAAACACAUUUUUGAACCUCUGACUCAUAGGACCUGAAACCAAAGCCUUUCAUCCUUAGUUAAGCCUUAACUAUUCUUGAAAUGGAAAACGUUUUUUGGCAACCCAGCUUCCUUCCUAAGAUCCCUACUUUAAAUAGUAUUUUGAAUAUGCAGAUGUUUCUAUUUUGUUAGUAGUAAAUAUUUCUGAAUUUCUUAUUUUUUUAUGAUGUAAGGAAAAUAUUUCAUGGUGGUUUUUGUUGGGGGGAGUGGGGGGUAUGCUUUUUAAAUUUUACUAAACACAU